Molecule: long non-coding RNA, 201 nt
Filed under: Elaeis guineensis (African oil palm)
Lineage: Eukaryota; Viridiplantae; Streptophyta; Magnoliopsida; Arecales; Arecaceae
Description: long non-coding RNA (EGUI_LNC070527)
Source: RNAcentral
GGCAUAGCUCUUUGACCCGAUCAUCCCAUAGAGUCUGAUAGUCGAAUAGUAUCCGAUGCAUUCGGUUAAGAUAACGAUGACAAGUCGAUCAUCCAUUGUCCGAUUCUUUGUCGGGCGUGUACGUCACGAUGUGUGAUAAAUGAUGGUAAGCCGAAUACCCUUCGACCAGUCGUGACCUGGUCGGUAUGUUGCGAAUGCGAC